Molecule: long non-coding RNA, 1410 nt
Organism: Bactrocera oleae (olive fruit fly)
Lineage: Eukaryota; Metazoa; Arthropoda; Insecta; Diptera; Tephritidae
Source: RefSeq, a predicted model, not a curated record
AUGUGAGACCAUCAUCCCAACAUACAAAAGAAAUGUGCAACACACUCUAAGCAGCGCUGACCGCCCGUCAUAACAUUUUUUUUCUAUCCAAUCGCGAUCAGUAAAAUUUUUUUUGAAAAUUUAUGAAAAAAAUACUCACAUUCAAAUUCGAUGUGGAAAGUGGAGGGUUAAACUUGACGUGUUUUUACUCAAUAUAGACAAAUUAAAAUGGCGUUGUCUACCGAAAGGAACCGAUGAUAUUCUAAACUCAUCACCUGGCACAAAAUGAAUCCCUCAUUUGAUUUGAAGAGAAACCAUGCAAAUGGAACAAGAAAAUAGUUGACUGCGAAUAGUUCAAACUAAAGCGAAAUGAUAGACAAUUUCAUCACUGUUUGGACGAAACGAUUGAAGGAAAAACUUCAACAAUGCUAAAGAACUCCACCUCAAAUUCUCUAUCAUAUUCAAUAGGAAGGGUACAAAUAUAAUUAUGGUAACAAAACGUGAUCGCUAUUUUUCUAGAAAAAUUUUGUAUUAUAUUGGAACAAAAAGCGGGAGGAAGUUUACGGUAGUCUGAAUAAAUGCCAGUACCUAUAAAAAUGAUGUAUUGUCAAAUAUUGUUAAUGCGGAGAAAUAGUUGCCUACUAUGUACGGACAAGUAGGAAGCCUGAGCGAAACUAGUGCGUGAGAUGGAAAACACUUCUAACCGAUUACCUUAGCCCGGUUUGGAGGAAAAUGUAAAAAUCAACCGUUAUUGAAAUCACUUAGCGGGGGGUCCAGCAAAUGGACUUAUUCGACGUGGUCGGAUUAAAGAGAGAGUGGUGUUAUGUGAGUGGUUUUAGCGUGUAUGCAAAGAAGUGGUUAGUAUCAUGUGGGGACAUUUGCACUCGUAUAUUUAGUAUGACGUGGUCUAUUCUGGAUAAGUAGUUUAACCUGGUCAGGAUGUGUGGUGUUUCCGACUCCAAAGACGACACUCAGUACACGUCUGAAGUUGGUCGCGUCCGAAAUUGCGUCGGUAUAUAGUUGAAGUUCGUUGACGUAUUGUAGGAAUGGUUUGGUAACAAUCGCGGUCGAAUCGUAGCACCACCAAUUUGGAACUCAACGCGGUCGUCGGGUCUCCUCGGACUGGACAGAGAUUUAACAGUAGUCUAUGACUGGCUUACACUGGCAGAGUGAAAUCGGGCCUCAUCGAUUCUUCCAGACGGAAUGAAACGAGUAGUAGCAGCGGUGUCACCUUGCGGAAUUAACAUUUGCCAAAGAUCACGUCCGUAGAAAUAGGUAGUACGGCGAAGGUGUCCUCGGUGAAUUCUGUGAAGCCAACCCAGUUAGCUCUGUUAAAGUAACAAAGAAAAUAUCUUCAAUAUACAUACGUAUUACAAUAUAACCAACUUCUUUUAAAUCAAAAGCUAAUGCGGUAGGGGAGGUAUUUAUGCG